GAGAAACAAUACCACCUUUGUUCCAAUCACGGUCUCUCACGGAACUCUAGGGUUCCAUGGAACCCUGGUUGAGAAAGCCUGAUAUAGAGGGGAAAAAAUAAGUAAAUCAAUUACAAUGAGGAUAAACCAAAGUUUGGAGGCACUGAAAGCAGUGUCUGCCACAUGCACAAUAUACUCAUCUUUGGAGGCUCAAUCAAGGAUAGAAGUAUGGAAACUGCCUUGGAGAAACUGCAACAAGCUGGAAGAAUCCUAAACAAAAAGAAAUGCUAAUUUGUAAAGUUGGAGGUGAAGUUAGUAGGCCACCAACUGUCCUCUGGGGGAGUGCAACCAGAUUCAGAUGAACUGCCAGGAGUUCAGAACAUGGAACAACCUACAAGUGUAUCAGAGAUCUACAGUUUCCUUGGCAUGGUAAAUCAGCUGGAAAGUUCAUUCUAGGUCUGCCAGAGAAAAGAAAGCCACUAUAAGACCUCUCUCAGAGAAACAUUUGAACCUGACAUGCACCACAGGAGGAGUUAUUCUCUUCACUUAAAGCAGAGCUCAUCUUUUCACCAACAUUGGCGUUCCUCGAUCCGAACAAAGCAACCCCUAAGAUCUCAGCAGAUGCCCCUUCCUUUGAAUUAAGGGAAGUGCUCAUGCAAACUGUAGUGGUGUAUGGAAACCUGUGGCAUAUGCAUCAAAAGCACCGACUCCUACUGACAGUGUGCCCAAAUCGAAAAGGAGACGUUGGCUCUCAUGUGGGCUUGUGAAAGCUUUAUCUACUACUUGAUAGGCAUUAAAUUCCUAAUUGUAACAGACCACACACGCCACUUGUCAGUCUUCUCAGCUCAAAAUACUUACAUGUCUGCAAAGAUUCAGAAUGAGGCUUAUGUGAUACAGUUGGUACAUUGAACAUGACCUCAGCAAAUCUUUCACACCACUGGACACUGUCAAGGAUGCCAUGCAAAAGUGAGUGGAUGGAAGGUGACUCCUCCCUCAUGGAAGAUGCCAUUGUAACACCCUGGUUAAGAUUUUUACUACUAAUGCUGUAGGGUAUUUCAUUGACUCGUUUUCUGUAGAAGCAACAUGUUCUGCUGAUAGUAUUUGGGUUUCAGUUAAAGGCAAGGGGUUGUGAUGUUCAAAUUAGGAAUGUUGGGUCAGCCAAUCAGGCUGGUGGUAUUGGGAGAAGGUUCCAGAGAAAGCUGGGUGGAGAGGCUUUGUGAUGGACACUGGUGGGGAUUGUAGUCUUUUCAGCAGGAGAUAGAGAGAAAACAAUCGAGAGAACUGGGCCAUAGGAUUCGACCCAACUGGAAUGGGUGAUUCAAUUGUGUACAGGAUGGGAGGGUCUACUGGUGAUUGGUGUAUAGGAGCAGCACUGUAAGAAGAGACACACACACAGCUUUUGGAAGAUAUGAGCUCCAACCUGGUGCACAUUUAACUGGUUUAAUUAUACUGUGGCCUUUUAUUUUUUCCUUUUUUUAAAUAACUAUUUGAAUAUGCUGAGAUUCAUAACUACAGCUUUACAGUUGUAUGUGGUGUAUGAUCUGAUAUUUCUUGCCGACAGAUAAUUGCACAUAGGCAGUAUUUAUACAGUAUUCGUUCAGAUCAGGGUUCGGGUGGUCAUAACAUCCCAACUUUGCGAUUUGGUGGGACCCAAAUCAUACCGAUCCUAGACAUAUGGAUUUUGAGAAAGGUGGGUUUCUCACCACUGAGUCCGGUGGCCAUAGCGAGUUGCUAAUGAGCUAAGAAGCCUGGUAAAAGGGGGUUUCACCAAUAUGUUCUUUGCUCAGGCAUGUGAAAGAUUUCCUGCAUCACAGAAUAAAUGGGAUGAAAUUUGCACUGAGUUGUAAAAGAAUCAACUCUGCAGCAAGGUCGAGCAAUACAGUGAGAAUGGAUGGCCAGCUGUUCCAAAAGGAGCUCUCAAACUCAGUCCUUAUUGGUUUGAGAGAAACGCAAUCACCAUUCUUGACGGUUUGCUGCUAAAUGGCUCCAGACACAUCAUUCCUGUUUCUAUGCACUCCAACAUCAGUCAUAUCCACCAAGGGCGUCAAGACAUCAAAACUCUGCCUAUGAGCAAGGCGAUCUGUGUAAUGGUCUGCUCUGAGCACAGAGAUGAGAGAUUUUGUAAGGCAAUGCGAAGCUUACAGGAAACAGUACAAAAAUCAUGCUGAAUCCUUCUGUUCCACAGAAUUCCUGGACUUUCCAUGGCAAAUUGCAGAUAUAGAUAUUUUUGCAUCAAAGAGACAAAUAUCUUCUCACUAUGAAUUACUACUCACUGAAUGCUGAGAUAUCCAAGCUGUCCUCUGCAUAAUUAGAUGUUAUCCAGCACCAAUAAGCUAUAUUUGCUCACCAUGGAAAACCAGUGUCAGACAACGUUCCACAAUUCAGCUGCUCAGUCUUUGCUAGGGACUAUGAGUUCAAACACCAGACAAGCAGUCCAUGGUACCCACAGGCAAAUGGAGCAGCAGAAAGAGCAAUGCAAACUGUUAAGAGCCUCCUACUGAAGACAAAAGAACCUUACAAAGCUCUGCCAGCUUAUCGCUCCACACCUCUUGCAAAUGGCUACAGUCCAUCAGGGUUGUCACUAGGCCAGAGACUGAGAACAAGCCUGCCUGUUCUUCUUGCCCUUCUCCAACCUCACUUACAGGACUUAGACAAAGUGAGAAAUUUUGAGACAACACGACAUGAGAAAAUGCAAAACAUACAUGAACUCAGACACAGAGCAAAAUCUUUGAUACUGCUCGGGAGUGGUAAAGCUGUUUGGGUUUCAGACCAAUUCACCAAAGUAACAAUGGUCUGGCAGCAUGCACGACGAUUGUUUGUGAUCAGAACAUCACAAGGUGAAAUCACACAGAACAGGCAUGCGCUCGUGCACCUUCAAAGUCCACGAGAGGUAGAGGAAGAAAUAGAAUGACCUGAUCCUUAUGAUGAGGACAACAUACCUGAGAUCUUUAGCAGGAUGAGCGCUCAAAUGACUUAUAUCUGUUCACAGCAAUACACUGCUUGUUAUAAUAUGAACUCUUGUGGAUUCGUGCCACAGUUUAUAGAGAAUCAUGACUGCAUAUCCUCAGUUAGUAUUUUUGUAGUGAAAGAAUAAUUUUCCAGUGGAAGUGGGGUCAUUGGCUCAAUCGUUAAAGCAAAGUUGCAUCAGCCCUCACUGGAAAUGAAGAGGAUCACUACUCACACGGAGCAGUGAUACCACUUUAUGACUGUAUAUUUUAAACUGUUUUCAAGUAAAUCCUUCAGCAUUACUGGCAACUAUAAAUAAUAUGGCUUUAAUAUAACAAGUUUUUGAUGUUUGAUUUUUAUAAAAUUUAUUAAAUUUGCUUUGAAGAGCUUAUG
Molecule: long non-coding RNA, 3318 nt
Organism: Hypanus sabinus (Atlantic stingray)
Lineage: Eukaryota; Metazoa; Chordata; Chondrichthyes; Myliobatiformes; Dasyatidae
Exons: 3
Source: RefSeq, a predicted model, not a curated record